UUGAGGGAUCAGGUUUGGGUUUUUUUUGACCCAAUGUCCUUCAAACAUAGUUUGGGAAGAGAGUGUGUUUUUUUUUUAAACCUGGAAGGAGAAAAAUAAUAGCUAAGCAACCUGCAUUAAAAAUAUUUACUUAAAAACACAAUGUCAGGAUAAGGAAAAAGCAUUUGCUGUGCGCUUGUCAGUCCUGAAGCCCCAGUAGCUGAAGUUAACACAGUGGGACAGAGCCCCUAACUGUCAGUUACAUCUGACAGUUCUGAUCACUUCCACCAGCUUGGCACUUAGAGCAAGCCAUGACUGUUCUCUUUUUCUCUAAGCAACCGCCGUAAUGAGUUGUAACUGUAAACACUUACUGUGAUGGCCUGGAGUCUCUCCUUCACCAGUUCAGUCUCUUCCAUUCUAGAGAUCGAGGUUGGGGAAACCGUAAAGGGAAUGAAUGUGAAGCUACCAUAAACAAGAGAAAAAGGAAAAAUCCUGAGUUGUCAGGAGCGUCUCUGAACAGAUGAACAGAGCAGGCCAGACAGACACAUGGAAUGAGAGUGUGCUGGGGCGGCAGACACACGGGCUGCUGGCACGAGCUGACUGACAAGUUUAAACGGCAGAACACAAGCCCUUUUCCUUCAGGGAGCUGCCAGCCCUUUGUUGUAAUGUGCACAAUGCUUGGUAUAAACUUUGGUCUAAGUCACAGAAAAGUCAGAGGCAUCAAUGGGACACUGUUCUGGAGCUGGCUUCUCAUGAAUGUUCGGUGUGGGUUGAACCUUCAGGACCAAUGCCUACGAUUUCUUAGAUUUUAUAGAGUGUAG
This 800-nucleotide long non-coding RNA is filed under the name Phascolarctos cinereus (koala). RNAcentral describes it as "lncRNA (ENSPCIG00000003777.2)". The record is from RNAcentral. Lineage: Eukaryota; Metazoa; Chordata; Mammalia; Diprotodontia; Phascolarctidae.